Molecule: ribosomal RNA, 292 nt
Filed under: uncultured Lactobacillus sp.
Lineage: Bacteria; Bacillati; Bacillota; Bacilli; Lactobacillales; Lactobacillaceae
Description: partial 16S ribosomal RNA
Rfam family: Bacterial small subunit ribosomal RNA
Source: RNAcentral
GUGCCAGCCGCUGCGGUAAUACGUAGGUGGCAAGCGUUAUCCGGAUUUAUUGGGCGUAAAGCGAGCGCAGGCGGUUUUUUAAGUCUGAUGUGAAAGCCCUCGGCUUAACCGAGGAAGUGCAUCGGAAACUGGGAAACUUGAGUGCAGAAGAGGACAGUGGAACUCCAUGUGUAGCGGUGAAAUGCGUAGAUAUAUGGAAGAACACCAGUGGCGAAGGCGGCUGUCUGGUCUGUAACUGACGCUGAGGCUCGAAAGCAUGGGUAGCGAACAGGAUUAGAUACCCUGGUAGUCC